Mycena capillaripes is the source of this 97-nucleotide non-coding RNA. The record is from the annotation of a GenBank genome assembly. NCBI's taxonomy places the organism in Eukaryota, Fungi, Basidiomycota, Agaricomycetes, Agaricales, Mycenaceae.
GACCCAAUAACACAGUUGGUAGUGCACCAGCUUACAAUUAGUCAUUCUGAUUGGAAUAUGUAAGCUGGGGAGCCCUGUUCAAUUCAGGGUUGGGUUA